ACGCUCGACACCUACGGGAGCAGCAGUGGGGAAUAUUGCACAAUGGGGGAAACCCUGAUGCAGCGACGCCGCGUGGAGGAAGAAGGUCUUCGGAUUGUAAACUCCUGUUGUUGGGGAAAAAGAGGAUGGUACCCAACAAGGAAGUGACGGCUAACUACGUGCCAGCAGCCGAGUAUNUGAGCGGNNGAGAG
RNAcentral lists this ribosomal RNA (191 nucleotides) under uncultured bacterium. Its description in RNAcentral is "partial 16S ribosomal RNA". It matches the Rfam family "Bacterial small subunit ribosomal RNA", at positions 328 to 540 of the family's 1533-position model. The record is from RNAcentral.